ACUGCGGGUCGGGCAACUGCGUGGCGCCCUGGGCGCCAUGAGGAAAGUCCGAACUCCACAGAGCAAGGUGCCCCGUUAACAGCGGGGGUCCCACGGACGAAAGUCGGCGGGAACGGAAAGUGUCACAGAAAACAUACCGUGGCGCUUCUAGCGCCACAAGGGUGAAAAGGCGAGGUAAGAGCUCACCGCCCCGCCAGUAAUGGCGGGGGCAUGAUAAACCCCACCUGGAGCAAGACCAAGUAUGAGAGGAGAGGCUGCUCGCUUCGCUCCUGAUUCAUGAAUCAGGAAGACUCUCGGGUAGGUCGCUUGAGUCCGUCGGCAACGGCGGACCUAGAUAAAUGGUUGCCUCCUCCGCAUCUUUGCGGAGUAGACAUAAUUCGGCUUACAGACCUGCAGUGUUU
RNAcentral lists this RNase P RNA (401 nucleotides) under Ignavibacteria bacterium. RNAcentral's name for it is "RNase P RNA component class A". It matches the Rfam family "Bacterial RNase P class A". From Rfam's summary of the family: Ribonuclease P (RNase P) is a ubiquitous endoribonuclease, found in archaea, bacteria and eukarya as well as chloroplasts and mitochondria. Its best characterised activity is the generation of mature 5'-ends of tRNAs by cleaving the 5'-leader elements of precursor-tRNAs. The record is from RNAcentral. Lineage: Bacteria; Pseudomonadati; Ignavibacteriota; Ignavibacteria.